Molecule: ribosomal RNA, 227 nt
Filed under: uncultured bacterium
Lineage: Bacteria
Description: partial 16S ribosomal RNA
Rfam family: Bacterial small subunit ribosomal RNA
Source: RNAcentral
AGUAACGCGUGAGGAACCUGCCUCAAAGAGGGGGACAACAGUUGGAAACGACUGCUAAUACCGCAUAAGCCCACAGCUCGGCAUCGAGCAGAGGGAAAAGGAGUGAUCCGCUUUGAGAUGGCCUCGCGUCCGAUUAGCUAGUUGGUGAGGUAAUGGCCCACCAAGGCGACGAUCGGUAGCCGGACUGGGAGGUUGAACGGCCACAUUGGGACUGAGACACGGCCCAG